This 477-nucleotide ribosomal RNA is filed under the name uncultured bacterium. RNAcentral's name for it is "bacterial SSU rRNA". It matches the Rfam family "Bacterial small subunit ribosomal RNA", at positions 33 to 507 of the family's 1533-position model. The record is from RNAcentral.
GACACGCUGGCGGCGUGCUUAACACAUGCAAGUCGAACGGAGUUACGUAUGAAGUAUUUCGGUACGGACUACAUAACUUAGUGGCGAACGGGUGAGUAACACGUGGGCAACCUGCCCUUAACCGGGGGAUAACAUUGUGAAAACAGUGCUAAUACCGCAUAACAGAGUAUCGGGCAUCCGAUAUUUUAAAAGGAGCAAUCCGGUUUAGGAUGGGCCCGCGUCCAAUUAGCUAGUUGGUGAGGUAACGGCUCACCAAGGCUACGAUUGGUAGCCGAACUGAGAGGUUGAUCGGCCACAUUGGGACUGAGACACGGCCCAGACUCCUACGGGAGGCAGCAGUGGGGAAUAUUGGGCAAUGGGCGAAAGCCUGACCCAGCGACGCCGCGUGAAGGAUGAAGGUCUUCGGAUUGUAAACUUCUUUGAUCAGGGAAGAAAGAAAUGACGGUACCUGAAGAACAAGCCACGGCUAACUACGUG